CUAAGUAAACAGCCCCCAGCCGCUUUACCUGCAUGAAGCAAGAUGUUUGGGAGCACAGAGGCUGGGUGCUCCGCAGCACCCCUCGCAACCCAUUAUAACAACUACGUUGGGAACUGGAGGCUUGGUGACACUGGCAAGGUUUAGGCUAAGCCCCAGUUGCCAGUGACACCCCGUCUCUCCAUUAGCCACCCGGCAUGAGACCCCUUCAGCCCUGCUCUGCGUGUGCGCUGAAGUGACUUGCUACUGCCAGCACAGCUACAUUUAUAGAGGCCCUGAUCCUGUAGGAAUGCUUUGGUCCCCCCAUCUCUCAGAGCUGCCAGACGUGUGCAGUGUGGGAAGUACGUGUGUGGCUCCUGGGGAUUUCAGUGAGCAUGUUCCAUAAAGAAGUGUGAAAUUACCAAAGUGAUUGAGAGAAGCUAGCAGCAGCAGUCCAGAGCUCAGAGAGAUCUGCAGGCAGUUUCCAUCGUGCUGCGGUCUUACAAGUCAAACGCAAUCUGUGGGCACAGGUAGGAUUUGAGUUUUGGUUUUGAAAAGCUGGACAUACAGGAAUGGCAGUCAACUGAUUCUUUCCUAGGGCUCAAUGAGGCUUGGCUGAUGCCUAGAAGAUGAAAAUCUGUGCCAGGCACAUACUUUUUCCUCGGACUUCUUCCACAGGCAGACCUGCAAACUGAAGUGGAAGCCUCUCUGCUGGGCCAACCUGGCCAUCUCUCACAGUCUGCAAACAAAUAACCAGAGACAGCAGCCUUUCAGCCACACUUCUGCUGGGGCUGCUUGAAGAGGCAGCCUGGAAAAUUUGGAACGCCAUCAAUUCGUUUUAAAAUACCCACACAGACAGAAGCAGCAGGAC
Long non-coding RNA from Tympanuchus pallidicinctus (lesser prairie-chicken), 847 nucleotides. RefSeq lists it as uncharacterized. The transcript has 3 exons. The record is from RefSeq and is a predicted model, not a curated record. NCBI's taxonomy places the organism in Eukaryota, Metazoa, Chordata, Aves, Galliformes, Phasianidae.